GACGAACGCUGGCGGCGUGCUUAACACAUGCAAGUCGAACGAUGAAGCUAGAGCUUGCUCUGGUGAAUUAGUGGCGAACGGGUGAGUAACACGUGAGUAACCUGCCCCGAACUCUGGGAUAACUGCUGGAAACGGUAGCUAAUACUGGAUACGACCUACGAAGGCAUCUUCUGUAGGUGGAAAGAAUUUCGGUUCGGGAUGGACUCGCGGCCUAUCAGCUUGUUGGUGAGGUAAUGGCUCACCAAGGCGACGACGGGUAGCCGGCCUGAGAGGGUGAGCGGCCACACGGGGACUGAGACACGGCCCAGACUCCUACGGGAGGCAGCAGUGGGGAAUAUUGCACAAUGGGCGCAAGCCUGAUGCAGCAACGCCGCGUGAGGGAUGACGGCCUUCGGGUUGUAAACCUCUUUUAGUAGGGAAGAAGCGAAAGUGACGGUACCUGCAGAAAAAGCACCGGCUAACUACGUGCCAGCAGCCGCCGUAA
RNAcentral lists this ribosomal RNA (484 nucleotides) under uncultured bacterium. Its description in RNAcentral is "partial 16S ribosomal RNA". It matches the Rfam family "Bacterial small subunit ribosomal RNA", at positions 28 to 523 of the family's 1533-position model. The record is from RNAcentral.